GUGCCAGCAGCCGCGGUAACACGGGGGGAGCAAGCGUUGUUCGGAAUCACUGGGCGUAAAGGGUGUCUAGGCGGUCAGGUAAGUGAGAUGUGAAAUGCCCCGGCUUACCCGGGGACCUGCAUCUCAUACUGCCUGGCUUGAGUAUGGGAGAGGAUGAGGGAAUUCCUGGUGUAGCGGUGAAAUGCGUAGAUAUCAGGAGGAACACCGGUGGCGAAAGCGCUCAUCUGGCCCAAUACUGACGCUGAAGCACGAAAGCUAGGGGAGCAAACGGGAUUAGAUACCCCUGUAGUCC
This 292-nucleotide ribosomal RNA is filed under the name uncultured bacterium. RNAcentral's name for it is "partial 16S ribosomal RNA". It matches the Rfam family "Bacterial small subunit ribosomal RNA", at positions 505 to 796 of the family's 1533-position model. The record is from RNAcentral.